AGUUGAUCCUGGCUUAGGAUGAACGCUAGCUACAGGCUUAACACAUGCAAGUCGAGGGGCAGCAUGAGGAUAGCUUGCUAUCCUUGAUGGCGACCGGCGCACGGGUGCGUAACACGUAUCCAAUCUACCCAUUGCUCGGGAAUAGCCUUUCGAAAGAAAGAUUAAUGCCCGAUGGUCUCAAUCCAGGGCAUCCUGUUUUGAGUAAAGAUUCAUCGGCGAUGGAUGGGGAUGCGUCCGAUUAGCUGGUUGGCGGGGCAACGGCCCACCAAGGCGACGAUCGGUAGGGGUUCUGAGAGGAAGGUCCCCCACACUGGAACUGAGACACGGUCCAGACUCCUACGGGAGGCAGCAGUGAGGAAUAUUGGUCAAUGGUCGAGAGACUGAACCAGCCAAGUAAGCGUGAGGGACGGCGGCCCUAUGGGUUGUAAACCUCUUUUGUUUGGGAAUAAAGUGCGGGACGCGUCCCGCUUUGUAUGUACCAUGCGAAUAAGCAUCGGCUAAUUCCGUGCCAGCCGCCGC
Molecule: ribosomal RNA, 519 nt
Filed under: uncultured bacterium
Lineage: Bacteria
Description: bacterial SSU rRNA
Rfam family: Bacterial small subunit ribosomal RNA
Source: RNAcentral